GUAUUAGCUAGUUGGUGGGGUAACGGCCUACCAAGGCGACGAUACGUAGCCGACCUGAGAGGGUGAUCGGCCACACUGGAACUGAGACACGGUCCAGACUCCUACGGGAGGCAGCAGUAGGGAAUCUUCCGCAAUGGGCGAAAGCCUGACGGAGCAACGCCGCGUGAGUGAUGAAGGUCUUCGGAUCGUAAAGCUCUGUUGUUAGGGAAGAACAAAUGUGUAAGUAACUGUGCACAUCUUGACGGUACCUAACCAGAAAGCCACGGCUAACUACGUGCCAGCAGCCGCGGUAAUACGUAGGUGGCAAGCGUUAUCCGGAAUUAUUGGGCGUAAAGCGCGCGUAGGCGGUUUUUUAAGUCUGAUGUGAAAGCCCACGGCUCAACCGUGGAGGGUCAUUGGAAACUGGAAAACUUGAGUGCAGAAGAGGAAAGUGGAAUUCCAUGUGUAGCGGUGAAAUGCGCAGAGAUAUGGAGGAACACCAGUGGCGAAGGCGGCUUUCUGGUCUGCAACUGACGCUGAUGUGCGAAAGCGUGGGGAUCAAACAGGAUUAGAUACCCUGGUAGUCCACGCCGUAAACGAUGAGUGCUAAGUGUUAGGGGGUUUCCGCCCCUUAGUGCUGCAGCUAACGCAUUAAGCACUCCGCCUGGGGAGUACGGUCGCAAGACUGAAACUCAAAGGAAUUGACGGGGACCCGCACAAGCGGUGGAGCAUGUGGUUUAAUUCGAAGCAACGCGAAGAACCUUACCAAAUCUUGACAUCCUUUGACCGCUCUAGAGAUAGAGUUUUCCUCUUCGGAGGACAAAGUGACAGGUGGUGCAUGGUUGUCGUCAGCUCGUGUCGUGAGAUGUUGGGUUAAGUCCCGCAACGAGCGCAACCCUUGAACUUAGUUGCCAUCAUUCAGUUGGGCACUCUAAGUUGACUGCCGGUGACAAACCGGAGGAAGGUGGGGAUGACGUCAAAUCAUCAUGCCCCUUAUGAUUUGGGCUACACACGUGCUACAAUGGACAAUACAAAGGGCAGCGAAACCGCGAGGUCAAGCAAAUCCCAUAAAGUUGUUCUCAGUUCGGAUUGUAGUCUGCAACUCGACUACAUGAAGCUGGAAUCGCUAGUAAUCGUAGAUCAGCAUGCUACGGUGAAUACGUUCCCGGGUCUUGUACACACCGCCCGUCACACCACGAGAGUUUGUAACACCCGAAGCCGGUGGAGUAACCAUUUUGGAGCUAGCCGUCGAAGGUGGGACAAAUGAUUGGGGUGAAGUCGUAACAAGGUAGCCGUAUCGGAAGGUGCGGCUGGAUCACCUCCUUU
RNAcentral lists this ribosomal RNA (1305 nucleotides) under Staphylococcus pseudintermedius. Its description in RNAcentral is "bacterial SSU rRNA". It matches the Rfam family "Bacterial small subunit ribosomal RNA", at positions 238 to 1533 of the family's 1533-position model. Lineage: Bacteria; Bacillati; Bacillota; Bacilli; Caryophanales; Staphylococcaceae. The record is from RNAcentral.